AGUGGAAUAGCUGGGUCAUAUUAGUUUUACUCUUAAUUUUUUAAGGAAUCUCCACAUUGCUUUCCAGAGUUGUUGUAAUAAUUUGCAGGUCCACAAACAAU
Molecule: microRNA precursor, 101 nt
Filed under: Marmota monax (woodchuck)
Lineage: Eukaryota; Metazoa; Chordata; Mammalia; Rodentia; Sciuridae
Source: RNAcentral